Molecule: long non-coding RNA, 354 nt
Organism: Amphimedon queenslandica
Lineage: Eukaryota; Metazoa; Porifera; Demospongiae; Haplosclerida; Niphatidae
Exons: 3
Source: RefSeq, a predicted model, not a curated record
GCAGUAGAUAGGCAGCUCAUCUAUCCAAAGGUUAUGGACAAAUAUUUCCCUAGAUCAAAGGUAGAGGAUGUAUUACUGGAGGAUCCUGAUAGCAUUAGCAUUGGCAAUUUGAAAAUUAUUAUUCAUGAAAAGUUUGGAGCUAGUUCCUAUUGAAGCACAUAAGCUAAUAUUUAAAGGUACCUUCUGCCACAGGAACUCUUAUGAGAGGAAAGAGAAAGGCACUAGUGGUACACGUUAUUAUUAAUGGUACACUAACUGAUAUAUCAACAAAUUUAAUCAUUAUUAUUUAAUCAUUAAUGUGAUAUAUUAACACAUUCAAUCAUUAAUGGUACUACCUGAUAAGUUAACUGAUAG